CACGUAGGGUGCGAGCGUUGUCCGGAUUUAUUGGGCGUAAAGAGCUCGUAGGCGGCUCGUUGCGUCAACCGUGAAAACCCGGGACUUAACUUCGGGCUUGCGGUUGAUACGGGCGGGCUGGAGUUCGGUAGGGGAGUGUGGAAUUCCCGGUGUAGCGGUGAAAUGCGCAGAGAUCGGGAGGAACACCCGUAGCGAAGGCGGCACUCUGGGCCGGUACUGACGCUGAGGAGCGAAAGCGUGGGGAGCGAACAGG
This 253-nucleotide ribosomal RNA is filed under the name uncultured bacterium. RNAcentral describes it as "partial 16S ribosomal RNA". It matches the Rfam family "Bacterial small subunit ribosomal RNA", at positions 524 to 776 of the family's 1533-position model. The record is from RNAcentral.